CUCGGCUUACACUUCCAUGC
RNAcentral lists this unclassified non-coding RNA (20 nucleotides) under Mus musculus (house mouse). Its description in RNAcentral is "oocyte_clustered_small_RNA8367". Lineage: Eukaryota; Metazoa; Chordata; Mammalia; Rodentia; Muridae. The record is from RNAcentral.